RNAcentral lists this ribosomal RNA (897 nucleotides) under uncultured bacterium. Its description in RNAcentral is "bacterial SSU rRNA". It matches the Rfam family "Bacterial small subunit ribosomal RNA", at positions 8 to 916 of the family's 1533-position model. The record is from RNAcentral.
AGAGUUUGAUCCUGGCUCAGGAACAACGCUGGCGGCGUGCCUAAUGCAUGCAAGUCGAACGGGAUCUACUAUGGUAGACGACCGUGGCGGACGGGUGAGGAGCGCGUGGGGAACCCACCCCGGUGCGGGGGAUAACCGCGGGAAACCGCGGGUAAGACCGCAUGAGCUUCGCGGUUCAGUAGGGAUAGUGAAGCAAAGAGCAGAGAUGCUCGUGCCGGGCGGGCCCUGCGGCCUAUCAGCCAGUUGGUGGGGUAGUGGCCCACCAAAGCGAUGACGGGUCGCUGGUCUGAGAGGACGAUCAGCCACACGGGGACUGAGACACGGCCCCGACUCCUACGGGAGGCAGCAGCAAGGGAUAUUCCGCAAUGGGCGCAAGCCUGACGGAGCGACGCCGCGUGGAGGAGGACACUUUUCGGAGCGUAAACUCCUUUUCGAGGGGACGAAAGACAUGACGGUACCCUCGGAAUAAGCACCGGCUAACUACGUGCCAGCAGCCGCGGUAACACGUAGGGUGCGAGCGUUGUCCGGAGUUACUGGGCGUAAAGGGCGUGUAGGCGGUGCAGUUUGUCCGUGGUGAAAGCCCCCGGCUCAACCGGGGAGGGUCCACGGAGACGGCUGCACUGGAGCUCGCGAGAGGUGGGUGGAAUUCCCGGUGUAGUGGUGAAAUGCGUAGAGAUCGGGAGGAACACCGGUGGCGAAGGCGGCCCACUGGCGCGAUGCUGACGCUGAGGCGCGAAGGCGCGGGGAGCGAACGGGAUUAGAUACCCCGGUAGUCCGCGCAGUAAACGAUGUGGACGAGGUGUGGGGGGAGUUGACCCCCUCCGUGCCGGCGCAAACGCAGUAAGUCCACCGCCUGGGGAGUACGGCCGCAAGGCUAAAACUUAAAGGAAUUGACGG